UACGAAGGGUGCAAGCGUUAAUCGGAAUUACUGGGCGUAAAGCGCGCGUAGGCGGCUUUGCAAGUCGGGUGUGAAAUCCCCAGGCUUAACCUGGGAACUGCAUUCGAGACUGCAUUGCUAGAGUAUGGGAGAGGGAAGUGGAAUUUCCGGUGUAGCGGUGAAAUGCGUAGAUAUCGGAAGGAACAUCAGUGGCGAAAGCGACUUCCUGGACCAAUACUGACGCUCAUGUGCGAAAGCGUGGGGAGCAAACAGG
This 253-nucleotide ribosomal RNA is filed under the name uncultured bacterium. RNAcentral's name for it is "partial 16S ribosomal RNA". It matches the Rfam family "Bacterial small subunit ribosomal RNA", at positions 524 to 776 of the family's 1533-position model. The record is from RNAcentral.